UACGAGGGGUGCAAGCGUUGUUCGGAAUCACUGGGCGUAAAGGGAGCGUAGGCGGAACUCCAAGUCGGUCGUACAAUGCCGGGGCCCAACCCCGGACCUGCGGCCGAGACUGGUUUUCUUGAGUUGUUUAGAGGCAGGCGGAAUUCCAGGUGUAGCGGUGGAAUGCGUAGAGAUCUGGAAGAACACCAAUGGCGAAGGCAGCCUGCUGGGAACAAACUGACGCUGAGGCUCGAAAGCGCGGGUAG
This 245-nucleotide ribosomal RNA is filed under the name uncultured bacterium. Its description in RNAcentral is "partial 16S ribosomal RNA". It matches the Rfam family "Bacterial small subunit ribosomal RNA", at positions 524 to 768 of the family's 1533-position model. The record is from RNAcentral.